CACACAUACAAUAAUAUUCAUAAUGCAAUCACACACAAUCACCAUGUGACUGCAUUAUGAAAAUUCUUCUAGUGUG
This is a microRNA precursor of Homo sapiens (human), 76 nucleotides long. Ensembl annotates it as microRNA 3118-1. The record is from Ensembl. NCBI's taxonomy places the organism in Eukaryota, Metazoa, Chordata, Mammalia, Primates, Hominidae.